This 810-nucleotide ribosomal RNA is filed under the name uncultured Caryophanales bacterium. Its description in RNAcentral is "bacterial SSU rRNA". It matches the Rfam family "Bacterial small subunit ribosomal RNA", at positions 28 to 821 of the family's 1533-position model. The record is from RNAcentral. Lineage: Bacteria; Bacillati; Bacillota; Bacilli; Caryophanales.
GACGAACGCUGGCGGCGUGCCUAAUACAUGCAAGUCGCGCGGACUUUUCAGGAGCUUGCUCCUGGAAGGUCAGCGGCGGACGGGUGAGUAACACGUGGGCAACCUGCCCGACAGACUGGGAUAACAUCCGGAAACGGAUGCUAAUACCGGAUAGUUUGCUUGAAGGCAUCUUCGAGCAUGGAAAGGCGCUACGGCGUCACUGUCGGAUGGGCCCGCGGCGCAUUAGCUAGUUGGUGGGGUAACGGCCCACCAAGGCGACGAUGCGUAGCCGACCUGAGAGGGUGACCGGCCACACUGGGACUGAGACACGGCCCAAACUCCUACGGGAGGCAGCAGUAGGGAAUCUUCCACAAUGGGCGAAAGCCUGAUGGAGCAACGCCGCGUGAGUGAUGAAGGCCUUCGGGUUGUAAAACUCUGUCUUCUGGGACGAACGGACAGGAGAGGGAAUGCUCUUGUUGUGACGGUACCAGAGGAGGAAGCCACGGCUAACUACGUGCCAGCAGCCGCGGUAAUACGUAGGUGGCAAGCGUUGUCCGGAAUCACUGGGCGUAAAGCGCGCGCAGGCGGCCGUUUAAGUCUGGGGUGAAAGCCCGGAGCUCAACUCCGGGACUGCCUUGGAUACUGGAUGGCUUGAGCAUUGGAGAGGUAAGGGGAAUUCCACGUGUAGCGGUGAAAUGCGUAGAUAUGUGGAGGAACACCAGUGGCGAAGGCGCCUUACUGGCCAAUUGCUGACGCUGAGGCGCGAAAGCGUGGGGAGCAAACAGGAUUAGAUACCCUGGUAGUCCACGCCGUAAACGAUGAGUGCUAGGU